RNAcentral lists this ribosomal RNA (393 nucleotides) under uncultured bacterium. RNAcentral's name for it is "partial 16S ribosomal RNA". It matches the Rfam family "Bacterial small subunit ribosomal RNA", at positions 523 to 918 of the family's 1533-position model. The record is from RNAcentral.
AUACGGAAGGUCCGGGCGUUAUCCGGAUUUAUUGGGUUUAAAGGGAGCGCAGGCGGAGAUGCAAGCGUGACGUCAAAUUUCGGGGCUCAACCCCGUCUCGCGUCGCGAACUGCGUCCCUUGGUUGCGGGAAGGGGAGGCGGAACUCGUGGUGUAGCGGUGAAAUGCAUAGAUAUCACGAAGAACUCCGAUCGCGAAGGCAGCCUUCCGGCCCGUCAACGACGCUCAUGCUCGAAGGUGCGGGUAUCAAACAGGAUUAGAUACCCUGGUAGUGCGCACAGUAAACGAUGGACACCCGCGGUUUGGCCUGUAUGGCUGAGCCGCCAAGCGAAAGCGUUAAGUGUCCCACCUGGGGAGUACGCCGGCAACGGUGAAACUCAAAUGAAUUGACGGGG